This 914-nucleotide ribosomal RNA is filed under the name uncultured archaeon. RNAcentral's name for it is "bacterial SSU rRNA". It matches the Rfam family "Archaeal small subunit ribosomal RNA", at positions 1 to 922 of the family's 1478-position model. The record is from RNAcentral.
UUCCGGUUGAUCCUGCCGGACCUGACUGCUAUCGGAUUGAUACUAAGCCAUGCAAGUCUUUGUAGUAAUACAAGGCGUACGGCUCAGUAACGCGUAGUCAACCUACCCUAUGGAUGGGGAUAAUCUCGGGAAACUGAGCAUAAUACCCAAUAGAUCAUCAAUUCUGGAAUGGUUGAUGAUUCAAAUGAUUUUUCGCCAUAGGAUGGGACUGCGGCCUAUCAGCUUGUUGGUGAGGUAAUGGCCCACCAAGGCAAUUACAGGUACGGGCUCUGAGAGGAGAAGCCCGGAGAUGGGUACUGAGACAAGGACCCAGGCCCUAUGGGGCGCAGCAGGCGAGAAAACUUUGCAAUGUGCGAAAGCACGACAAGGUUAAUCCGAGUGAUUUCUGCUAAAGGAAUCUUUUACCAGUUCUAAAAAUACUGGCGAAUAAGGGGUGGGCAAGUUCUGGUGUCAGCCGCCGCGGUAAAACCAGCACCUCAAGUGGUCAGGAGGAUUAUUGGGCCUAAAGCAUCCGUAGCCGGCUCUGUAAGUUUUCGGUUAAAUCUAUAUGCUCAACGUAUAGGCUGCCGAAAAUACUGCACAGCUAGGGAAUGGGAGAGGUAGACGGUACUCGGUAGGAAGGGGUAAAAUCCUUUGAUCUAUCGAUGACCACCUGUGGCGAAGGCGGUCUACCAGAACAUGUUCGACGGUGAGGGAUGAAAGCUGGGGGAGCAAACCGGAUUAGAUACCCGGGUAGUCCCAGCUGUAAACGAUGCAGACUCGAUAAUGCAUUGGCACAUAGCCAGUGCAGUGUCGCAGGGAAGCCGUUAAGUCUGCCGCCUGGGAAGUACGUACGCAAGUAUGAAACUUAAAGGAAUUGGCGGGGGAGCACCACAAGGGGUGAAGCCUGCGGUUCAAUUGGAGUCAACGCCGGG